RNAcentral lists this ribosomal RNA (508 nucleotides) under uncultured bacterium. RNAcentral's name for it is "partial 16S ribosomal RNA". It matches the Rfam family "Bacterial small subunit ribosomal RNA", at positions 28 to 523 of the family's 1533-position model. The record is from RNAcentral.
GAUGAACGCUAGCUAUAGGCUUAGCACAUGCAAGUCGAGGGGAAACGAUAGAGAAAGCUUGCUUUUUCUAGGCGUCGACCGGCGCACGGGUGAGUAACGCGUAUCCAACCUGCCCACCACUUGGGGAUAACCUUGCGAAAGUAAGACUAUUACCCAAUGAUAUCUCUAGAAGACAUCUGAAAGAGAUUAAAGAUUUAUCGGUGAUGGAUGGGGAUGCGUCUGAUUAGCUUGUUGGCGGGGUAACGGCCCACCAAGGAGACGAUCAGUAGGGGUUCUGGGAGGAAGGUCCCCCACAUUGGAACUGAGACACGGUCCAAACUCCUACGGGAGGCAGCAGUGAGGAAUAUUGGUCAAUGGGCGAGAGCCUGAACCAGCCAAGUAGCGUGCAGGAUGACGGCCCUAUGGGUUGUAAACUGCUUUUAUAAGGGAAUAAAGUGAGUCUCGUGAGACUUUUUGCAUGUACCUUAUGAAUAAGGACCGGCUAAUUCCGUGCCAGCCGCCGCGGUAA